AUUGAACGCUGGCGGCAGGCCUAACACAUGCAAGUCGAACGAGUGGCGGACGGGUGAGUAAUGUCUGGGAAACUGCCCGAUGGAGGGGGAUAACUACUGGAAACGGUCGCUAAUACCGCAUACUAUCGGAUGUGCCCAUAUGGGAUUAGCUAGUAGGUGGGGUAACGGCUCACCUAGGCGACGAUCCCUAGCUGGUCUGAGAGGAUGACCAGCCACACUGGAACUGAGACACGGUCCAGACUCCGACGGGAGGCAGCAGUGGGGAAUAUUGCACAAGGGGCGCAAGCCUGAUGCAGCCAUGCCGCGUGUAUGAAGAAGGCCUUCGGGUUGUAAAGUACUUUCAGCGAGGAGGCGUUACUCGCAGAAGAAGCACCGGCUAACUCCGUGCCAGCAGCCGCGGUAAUAC
Molecule: ribosomal RNA, 406 nt
Filed under: uncultured bacterium
Lineage: Bacteria
Description: partial 16S ribosomal RNA
Rfam family: Bacterial small subunit ribosomal RNA
Source: RNAcentral